RNAcentral lists this ribosomal RNA (397 nucleotides) under uncultured bacterium. Its description in RNAcentral is "bacterial SSU rRNA". It matches the Rfam family "Bacterial small subunit ribosomal RNA", at positions 363 to 775 of the family's 1533-position model. The record is from RNAcentral.
AUUGCACAAUGGGGGGAACCCUGAUGCAGCGACGCCGCGUGAGGGAAGACGGUUUUCGGAUUGUAAACCUCUGUCUUUAGGGACGAAACAAAUGACGGUACCCAAGGAGGAAGCUCCGGCUAACUACGUGCCAGCAGCCGCGGUAAUACGUAGGGAGCAAGCGUUGUCCGGAAUUACUGGGUGUAAAGGGAGCGUAGGCGGGAUAGUAAGUUGAUUGUUAAAACUAUCGGCUCAACUGAUAGAUGCGAUCAAAACUGCAAUUCUUGAGUGAAGUAGAGGCAGGCGGAAUUCCUAGUGUAGCGGUGAAAUGCGUAGAUAUUAGGAGGAACACCAGUGGCGAAGGCGGCCUGCUGGGCUUUAACUGACGCUGAGGCUCGAAAGUGUGGGUAGCAAACAG